Molecule: non-coding RNA, 1054 nt
Organism: Meleagris gallopavo (turkey)
Lineage: Eukaryota; Metazoa; Chordata; Aves; Galliformes; Phasianidae
Source: RefSeq, a predicted model, not a curated record
UUUUAUUUUUAAGUUCAGUGAAAUAACUGAUUUUCCACUGCACCAAUAUUCUGCAUUAGAGUUGCACAUCCUAAAACUGAUCUCAUUUCUCCCUUCUGGUUUAUUGGGAUUUCUUUUUUCUACUACCGUCAGCUGAGAGAUGCCUGCUGAGACCACAGCCCAUCAUAGGUGGUGUAUUGGCAAAGCUAAAUCACAGCAUGAAGCACUGAUGGAGCACCUGGUGAAAAGGCAGAGCCAUCCCUGAGGAGCUCAGGUGCCUGCAGUGCCACUGAGUGGGGAAGGGGUGCAGCCAGGAUCCACACCUCCCCAGCCCUCAUUUAGGGGCUGACAGUGAAGGUGAGAAUCCCUUGCUGGAGAUCCCUGCAUUCCUGAGGCCUUCCAUGGUGAACACUGCAGUAAUGUUCCAGCCGUUCCUGCAGGUUACCUGACAUUUCUUCUUGAGCUUGAACGUUUGAACUCCUGCAGUGUUUGCAUGGGAGAGCUCGCUCUUCCAUACAGUGUCUGCAGCACAUCAUAGAAUCACAGAACAGCUCAGAGCUGUGUGAUGGAGCAAGGCUGCACAGCAGUCCUCACCCAUUCCUACAGCAGGCUUCCAAAUACAAGCUGAAAUUAAAGCACCAGGACAGUGGUUUCACCCAAGUCCGGUUCACAGGUCUGUCCACCAUCUGGAGCAAUUACAAGGUGAAUGGAAAGCCGUGGAAAUACUGUUCCCAAAGAAAAGGCGUCCAGCAGUAUAGGCACUGUCCAUCCCGGAACCCUCACCCAUACCUCCAGGACAGUGCUGUGCUUCUCCACUAAGUUGCAGAAUGGAAGAGUCUGAGGACCUGAUCUUAAAAUUUUAAGGCAGGUAUUUCUCAGGGUCCAUCAUGUUUCUGGCAGUAUGACAGGAGAAACACCUUUGAACUCCAACCUCUCUUUGGAAUUGUAACAACAGUAGGUCCAGGUUAUAACAAAGUCACUUAAAUGCUUAAAAUAAAUGUAUUAAUUGAGACCCAGAAACAGUCUUUACCUAAGACUUUAGCUUGUCUAACUGAAAAAGAAGUGGGAGCUGGCU